AUUGAACGCUGGCGGCAUGCUUUACACAUGCAAGUCGAACGGUAACAGGGUGCUUGCACCGCUGACGAGUGGCGAACGGGUGAGUAAUGCAUCGGAAUGUACCGAGUUAUGGGGGAUAGCUCGGCGAAAGCCGGAUUAAUACCGCAUACGCCCUGAGGGGGAAUGUGGGGGACGGAAAGGCCUCACGAUAUAUGAGCAAUCGAUGUGUGAUUGGCUAGUUGGUGAGGUAAAGGCUCACCAAGGGGUCGAUCAGUAGCGGGUCUGAGAGGAUGAUCCGCCACAGGGGGACUGGGACACGGGCCAGACUCCUACGGGAGGCAGCGGUGGGGAAUUUUGGACAAGGGGCGCAAGCCUGUUCCAGCCAAGCCGGGGGUCUGAAGAAGGCCUACGGGUUGUAAAGGACUUUUGUCCGGGAGCAAAUCCUAGUGGUUAAUAACCGCUGGGUCUGAGAGUACCGGAAGAAGAAGCACCGGCUAACUACGU
This 483-nucleotide ribosomal RNA is filed under the name uncultured bacterium. Its description in RNAcentral is "partial 16S ribosomal RNA". It matches the Rfam family "Bacterial small subunit ribosomal RNA", at positions 29 to 506 of the family's 1533-position model. The record is from RNAcentral.